UCGCCGCCGACGACGUCGCGAGAAGUCCACUGAACCUUAUCAUUUAGAGGAAGGAGAAGUCGUAACAAGGUUUCCGUAGGUGAACCUGCGGAAGGAUCAUUGUMGACACCUGCAAAGCAGAGCGACCCGUGAACCGUUUUUCAACGCCCGGGAUACCGGGGGACGCCUAGCCGCCCGGUAGCCCGAAAGCUCCGGACUCUGGGGGGGCAACCCACCCCCAGCGGACGGAGCUCUAAACAAACCCCGGCGCGCGAAGCGCCAAGGUACUCCAACGAUAGGGCAUGCGCCCGUAGCCCUGGGUUCCAGUGUGCUCGGGAUGCUGUUCAGCAUCAUAAAGUCUAAACGANNNGUGUGAAUUGCAGAAUCCCGUGAACCAUCGAGUCUUUGAACGCAAGUUGCGCCCGAAGCCUUGGCUGAGGGCACGUCUGCCUGGGUGUCACGCAUCGCGUUGCGUCCAAACCCUUCGCCCUUCGGACGUUGCGGUGAUGGUCUGGAUGCGGAAGCUGGCCUCCCGYGGCCACGAGCCACGGAUGGCCCAAACACGUGCUAGGGAAGCGAAGCGCCACGGCAUUCGGUGGUUGAUCCAAGCCCCAGAAGCAGUGCCGGCGGUGGCCGCAUCUGYCCCUAGCCGACGACCCUAAACGUUAACCAACGCGACCUCAGGUCAGGCGGGGCUACCCGCUGAGUUUAAGCAUAUCAAUAAGCGGAGG
This 710-nucleotide ribosomal RNA is filed under the name Terminalia trichopoda. RNAcentral's name for it is "eukaryotic LSU rRNA". The stretch from base 1 to 102 matches the Rfam family "Eukaryotic small subunit ribosomal RNA". The record is from RNAcentral. Lineage: Eukaryota; Viridiplantae; Streptophyta; Magnoliopsida; Myrtales; Combretaceae.